Long non-coding RNA from Mytilus trossulus (common blue mussel), 341 nucleotides. RefSeq lists it as uncharacterized. Lineage: Eukaryota; Metazoa; Mollusca; Bivalvia; Mytilida; Mytilidae. The transcript has 3 exons. The record is from RefSeq and is a predicted model, not a curated record.
UAGAAUAUUGUGUUAUCAACCGUAACAUAAAAUGUCCUCUAUUAAGUACUAGUAAUACAAAUUGAAGGUCAAUACGUCAAUUUUCCGAUAUAUGUAGGUGUUGACUACAGGAAGAUAAAACAAAGUAGAAACUUUUGUCAGUUGGUGAAAGAUGAAAGCAUUUCCAACCAUCGUUUGUAUUUGCUGUAUGGUACUGCUGACUUGUAUGUCCAUUGUAACAUCAGAGACCACAACAACUGGACACCCUCACAAUAAUGAUUGUUUGUUACCGACGGUAAGUGGACCUUGUGAAGCGUAUUUUCCACGUUAUUCCUACAACCACAAGACAAAUUCAUGCACAC